This 462-nucleotide ribosomal RNA is filed under the name uncultured bacterium. RNAcentral's name for it is "partial 16S ribosomal RNA". It matches the Rfam family "Bacterial small subunit ribosomal RNA", at positions 338 to 795 of the family's 1533-position model. The record is from RNAcentral.
CCUACGGGAGGCAGCAGUGAGGAAUAUUGGUCAAUGGGCGCGAGCCUGAACCAGCCAAGUCGCGUGAGGGAAGACGGCCCUACGGGUUGUAAACCUCUUUUGCCGGGGAGCAACGGGCGUCACGUGUGGCGCAACUGAGAGUACCCGGAGAAAAAGCAGCGGCUAAAUCCGUGCCAGCAGCCGCGGUAAUACGGGGGAUGCAAGGGUUAGCCGGAUUUGUUGGGUUUAAAGGGUGCGUAGGCUGGGAGGUAAGUCAGCGGUGAAAUGCCACCGCUCAACGGUGUGAAGUGCCAUGGAUACUGGCUGGCUGGAGUGCCGAUGCGGUGGGAGGAAUGUGUGGUGUAGCGGUGAAAUGCAUAGAUAUCACACAGAACACCGAUUGCGAAGGCAUCUUACGAAGCCGCGAUUGACGCUGAGGCACGAAAGCGUGGGUAUCAAACAGGAUUAGAUACCCUAGUAGUC